AUUGAACGCUGGCGGCAGGCCUAACACAUGCAAGUCGAGCGGAUGAAGGGAGCUUGCUCCUGGAUUCAGCGGCGGACGGGUGAGUAAUGCCUAGGAAUCUGCCUGGUAGUGGGGGAUAACGUCCGGAAACGGGCGCUAAUACCGCAUACGUCCUGAGGGAGAAAGUGGGGGAUCUUCGGACCUCACGCUAUCAGAUGAGCCUAGGUCGGAUUAGCUAGUUGGUGGGGUAAAGGCCUACCAAGGCGACGAUCCGUAACUGGUCUGAGAGGAUGAUCAGUCACACUGGAACUGAGACACGGUCCAGACUCCUACGGGAGGCAGCGGUGGGGAAUAUUGGACAAUGGGCGAAAGCCUGAUACAGCCAUGCCGCGUGUGUGAAGAAGGUCUUCGGAUUGUAAAGCACUUUAAGUUGGGAGGAAGGGCAGUAAGUUAAUACCUUGCUGUUUUGACGUUACCAACAGAAUAAGCACCGGCUAACUUCGUG
This 484-nucleotide ribosomal RNA is filed under the name uncultured bacterium. RNAcentral describes it as "partial 16S ribosomal RNA". It matches the Rfam family "Bacterial small subunit ribosomal RNA", at positions 30 to 507 of the family's 1533-position model. The record is from RNAcentral.